Molecule: ribosomal RNA, 1089 nt
Filed under: Salmonella enterica
Lineage: Bacteria; Pseudomonadati; Pseudomonadota; Gammaproteobacteria; Enterobacterales; Enterobacteriaceae
Description: bacterial SSU rRNA
Rfam family: Bacterial small subunit ribosomal RNA
Source: RNAcentral
AAAUUGAAGAGUUUGAUCAUGGCUCAGAUUGAACGCUGGCGGCAGGCCUAACACAUGCAAGUCGAACGGUAACAGGAAGCAGCUUGCUGCUUCGCUGACGAGUGGCGGACGGGUGAGUAAUGUCUGGGAAACUGCCUGAUGGAGGGGGAUAACUACUGGAAACGGUGGCUAAUACCGCAUAACGUCGCAAGACCAAAGAGGGGGACCUUCGGGCCUCUUGCCAUCAGAUGUGCCCAGAUGGGAUUAGCUAGUUGGUGAGGUAACGGCUCACCAAGGCGACGAUCCCUAGCUGGUCUGAGAGGAUGACCAGCCACACUGGAACUGAGACACGGUCCAGACUCCUACGGGAGGCAGCAGUGGGGAAUAUUGCACAAUGGGCGCAAGCCUGAUGCAGCCAUGCCGCGUGUAUGAAGAAGGCCUUCGGGUUGUAAAGUACUUUCAGCGGGGAGGAAGGUGUUGUGGUUAAUAACCGCAGCAAUUGACGUUACCCGCAGAAGAAGCACCGGCUAACUCCGUGCCAGCAGCCGCGGUAAUACGGAGGGUGCAAGCGUUAAUCGGAAUUACUGGGCGUAAAGCGCACGCAGGCGGUCUGUCAAGUCGGAUGUGAAAUCCCCGGGCUCAACCUGGGAACUGCAUUCGAAACUGGCAGGCUUGAGUCUUGUAGAGGGGGGUAGAAUUCCAGGUGUAGCGGUGAAAUGCGUAGAGAUCUGGAGGAAUACCGGUGGCGAAGGCGGCCCCCUGGACAAAGACUGACGCUCAGGUGCGAAAGCGUGGGGAGCAAACAGGAUUAGAUACCCUGGUAGUCCACGCCGUAAACGAUGUCUACUUGGAGGUUGUGCCCUUGAGGCGUGGCUUCCGGAGCUAACGCGUUAAGUAGACCGCCUGGGGAGUACGGCCGCAAGGUUAAAACUCAAAUGAAUUGACGGGGGCCCGCACAAGCGGUGGAGCAUGUGGUUUAAUUCGAUGCAACGCGAAGAACCUUACCUGGUCUUGACAUCCACGGAAGUUUUCAGAGAUGAGAAUGUGCCUUCGGGAACCGUGAGACAGGUGCUGCAUGGCUGUCGUCAGCUCGUGUUGUGAAAUGUUGGG